Molecule: ribosomal RNA, 492 nt
Filed under: uncultured bacterium
Lineage: Bacteria
Description: partial 16S ribosomal RNA
Rfam family: Bacterial small subunit ribosomal RNA
Source: RNAcentral
AUUGAACGCUGGCGGUAGGCCUAACACAUGCAAGUCGAGCGGCAGCACAGUAAGAGUUUGUCCUUACGGUUGGCGACUGGCGGACGGGUCAGGAAUACAUCGCAACCUACUUUUUCGUGGGGGAUAACGUAGGGAAAGAUACACUAAUACCGCAUACUAUCUACGGGGGGAAUCAGGAGUUCAUGACACCUUUCGCGAUUGUAUGAGCCGAUGCCGCAUUAGCUAGUUGGGGGGGUAAAGGCCCACCAAGGCGACGCUCCGUAGCUGGUCUGAGAGGAUGAUCGGCCACACUGGAACUGAGACACGGUCCAGACUCCUACGGGAGGCAGCAGUGGGGAAUAUUGGACAAUGGGCGCAAGCCUGAUCCAGCCAUGCCGCGUGGGUGAAGAAGGCCUUCGGGUUGUAAAGCUCUUUUAUUAGGAAAGAAAAGCAGCAGGAGAAACCCCCGCCGUCCUGACGGUACCCAAUGAAUAAGCACCGGCUAACUUCGUG